AUCAUUGGUGGCUCUUUGGGGUUGAGGGGUGCUCCUCCGAGGAAGGAGCCUUCGUUUGGGGCUUAGCCCGUGCAACCCCUUAGGUCCAUUCCUCUCCAAGAAUCGGUCUCCCAAUCUUCUACAUCCUCAUCACAUCGAGGUUCGAGCAUCCCCCAGAUUUCAGUGCGAAUAUCUUCUUAUUCGACUGAUCUACCGAUUGAAGUUUCUUUGGAGCUGAAAGCUCUGGCUCGAUUUGAGGCUCGGGAAGAU
This 249-nucleotide long non-coding RNA is filed under the name Elaeis guineensis (African oil palm). RNAcentral's name for it is "long non-coding RNA (EGUI_LNC001911)". The record is from RNAcentral. Lineage: Eukaryota; Viridiplantae; Streptophyta; Magnoliopsida; Arecales; Arecaceae.